UAAGCAUAUCAAUAAGCGGAGGAAAAGAAACUAACAAGGAUUCCCCUAGUAACUGCGAGUGAAGCGGGAAAAGCUCAAAUUUAAAAUCUGGCGGUCCUUGUGGCCGUCCGAGUUGUAAUCUGGAGAAGUGCUUUCCGCGCUGGACCGUGUACAAGUCUCUUGGAACAGAGCGUCGUAGAGGGUGAGAAUCCCGUCUUUGACACGGACUACCAGUGCUUUGUGAUGCGCUCUCAAAGAGUCGAGUUGUUUGGGAAUGCAGCUCAAAAUGGGUGGUAAAUUCCAUCUAAAGCUAAAUAUUGGCGAGAGACCGAUAGCGAACAAGUACCGUGAGGGAAAGAUGAAAAGAACUUUGGAAAGAGAGUUAAACAGUACGUGAAAUUGCUGAAAGGGAAACGCUUGAAGUCAGUCGCGUUGGCCGGGACUCAGCCUUGCUUCCGCUUGGUUUAUUUUCUGGUCGACGGGUCAGCAUCAGUUUUGAUCGUCGGACAAUGGCUGGGGGAAUGUGGCAUCUUCGGAUGUGUUAUAGCCCUCGGUCGCAUACGAUGGUUGGGACUGAGGAUCUCAGCACACCUUUAUGGUCGGGGUUCGCCCACGUUUGUGCUUAGGAUGCUGGCAUAAUGGCUUUAAACGACCCGUCUUGAAACACGGACCAAGGAGUCUAACAUGCAUGCGAGUGUUUGGGUGGAAAACCCGAGCGCGUAAUGAAAGUGAAAGUUGAGACCUCUGUCGUGGAGGGCAUCGACGCCCGGACCAGACCUUCUGUGACGGCCCUGCGGUAGAGCAUGUAUGUUGGGACCCGAAAGAUGGUGAACUAUGCCUGAAUAGGGUGAAGCCAGAGGAAACUCUGGUGGAGGCUCGUAGCGAUUCUGACGUGCAAAUCGAUCGUCAAAUUUGGGUAUAGGGGCGAAAGACUAAUCGAACCAUCUAGUAGCUGGUUCCUG
RNAcentral lists this ribosomal RNA (941 nucleotides) under Calcipostia guttulata. RNAcentral describes it as "partial large subunit ribosomal RNA". It matches the Rfam family "Eukaryotic large subunit ribosomal RNA", at positions 35 to 960 of the family's 3401-position model. Lineage: Eukaryota; Fungi; Basidiomycota; Agaricomycetes; Polyporales; Postiaceae. The record is from RNAcentral.